CAGACAUCAAACCUUGCUGCCAAGAAGAACCCAAGUGAAAAUGGAAAUGCCUUUUAGCAUAAACAUUCUGGUUGACUGGGGGGUCAAUAGGGGUCAUUCAAUAGGGGUCAUUUCAGUAUCACGCUGGGUAUUUAGGGACCAAACGUUCUGAAUCAAAUGACAUUUGAUUUUGGACAUUUGAAAUGACAUUGGAAUUUUCUUCUUCACAAAGUCCUCCCAAAGAACGCUAGGGGAUGAGAUAACGACUCUGAAUGGUUAGAGCUUCUAGCCCUUUGGUAACCAACAGGGAGAUGGCCCACAGAACUUGAAGCUGGGGCCCAGGUGGCAGGAUUUGUCAUUUCCUCAGACCAGUGUCUGUGCUCGUGAUGGGGAAGGAAUAAGAGUCAGCAUUCUCACUGGGGAAUUUCUAACCAGCUGUGUGACCUUGGGUGACUCGUGGCAUCCAUGCAGGUCCCAUUCUACUCAUCUGUUAGAGAGGAGAUGUGUUUAACUAUCACCAGGGCUCCAAGAUGGAAGCCUGUGGAGGAGACAGGACGUGGGCAGCUGGUCAGAGUCUGAGAUUCCAGCAACUGUGCCAACUUGGUAUGAACUGAAACAGAACGGCUUAUGAAACAGAACGGCUUAUAAUUGCCAUUAACUCCCUGGAAAAGGCUUUCAAGAGGGGGCUGUAUAGUGCUUACACACAGAUGCUACAAAGUCACUCGUGGAUGGAUGAUGAUAACAAUGAUUAUGCCAAUCACCACGGCAAUGAUGGUCGUAGUCAUGUAAUAGACUACAGCUCGCAUCCCCAUCUUUCCUGAUGCCUUACUAUCUAGGGCCGCCAUUCCUAGGGAAGGCAAACAGAAGGAGAUUUUCAGGAAAUCAGUUCAUGGAAUUGUCCAGUGGAAGGACAUCUUCAAAGUCUACCUCAGGCAAGGCAUGGUCCUCUGUGAGAGAGGAGGCAUGAUGGUGAAUGUUUCCCUAACUGUUCUAGCAAAUGGAGCACAUCUCCGUGCCUCUUGAGAUGGAAAAAAAUUGGAAAUAAUCCAAAACUCUCAAAAGAUUAAAUUUUCUUAAUCAUAAUAUGGGCUCUUCUGUUUCAUUAACCAUUUCCUCAUUUCUCUUUUUUCUUUCUCCUCCCCAAACUUCCUAAAACACUAAGAUCCAAUUAUAGCAUCAUCCAAUCAUAAUUAAUCAAACUAUUUAAUUAGGCAAAAUCAUAAUUUUAUAAAUACAUUAAAAGUUUACUGUAUUACUGUACAUUAAAAGUUACUGUAGCUCAGUGAUCAGUAUCAGACUCUAACAGUGGUUCAAUAUGCAGGUAGUGAUUCUGUUUAUAUCAAUGUGUUUAGAGUAAGGUAAAGUAUAUUGGAAAAAGAUAAUGUCCAUGAAUGCCAGAAAACUGACUGGGUUUGCCCCCAAACCUUGAUACAAUGGUAGUGAGCUUAUAUGGGAAUUGAAGCCAAGAUCUCCAAUUUAUAAUUUCAUGUGUAUUUGAAUCAAAUCAUUCAUAAUUUUCAUAAUAAGCACUUACUACUUGCUAUGUUCUUAUUUUUAACAACAAUCUAUAAGGCAGAUUAAAAAGCAAUUAAGUAACUUUCUCAGUUCUUAGUACCAAGUAAAAUGAAGUGGGAACUUGAACUCAGAUCUUAUGUAACUGAAUUUAGUGUACUUUCUGCCCCUGAGAAAACCAGCUACAGCUCCCACAAACGAGUAAGCCAAUUUUGGUUUUAAGGCACUGAAGUUAGCUUCUUUUAUCCUUGCCCUAGGUUUCUUGAAACCUAGGGUUAAUACCCACUUGUGGGGGUGGCGCCACUUCAACACUUUACCAUCAUUAGAAAUGGGCUAAUCUGUUCUCAGUCCACGUGGUCCCAUCCCCCCAGGUUCAUCCGCAGGUCUCCUAUGGCGUCUCAGAAUAUCUUGACUUUCCUGUGCUUGAAAUCAUUUCUCCCAGAAGGGGCCCACUCUCUUUCCCAUCAUUGCCUGAGCUCGUCACCACUGAAGCCUGCAAUUCUUCGGCGGGCGAGUGGUGUGGGCACAAAAGGCCGGAUAUCUCUGCUAGGGGUACCAGGCGGCAGUAUUCUCUUCCUCCGAGACGCUUUCUUUCCCUCUCGCCUUCUAUUCUGUGGUGCUGUUCCGUUCUCACGCCAACUCUUCUCUGCCGCUCCUGCCCACUACUCCCGACCUAUAGCUAUUCAGAGAGAGCGCUAAGUGGUCAAGGCACAGCACUGGAAACCAACGUGGCAGACAAAGGGGAGGCUUAACUCUCCCUCCCUCCCACCGCCGGGGAGGGCUGGGGAAUGUGAUUCCGGAAUUCACAGCUACAGGGCCAUCCGCUCUAGGAAACAAAGUUUAUAGGUGGUUUUUUUUUUUUCCUUCUUUUUUUAAAUAAAGUUAAUAAAAAAAGGAAACCAAUGAGUAUUUACUCCAUACUUUCCAAUUGUGAAAUAGAUGAAGACAAACACUGAAGCAUUUAUUUUAGCAAUGAGCCCAGAAGGAGAAUCGAUGGUCAAAUGAGAGGCCUCACCAACCUCUGCAUAUUGACCCUGAUCCUGUGAAAGAGGAUAAAGCAGCAACUGCUAACGUUUUAGAAAAGGCAGGGGUGUGUGCGGGUAUCUUUAUUAACCAAAUCUCCGUG
Long non-coding RNA from Dama dama (fallow deer), 2617 nucleotides. RefSeq lists it as uncharacterized. The transcript is spliced from 4 exons. Lineage: Eukaryota; Metazoa; Chordata; Mammalia; Artiodactyla; Cervidae. The record is from RefSeq and is a predicted model, not a curated record.